GCGCAUUUAUGCUUGAUGGUGUUUUAGGCCCCCAGAGGCAACUUCCAGGCAGCACUGCGACUGUUGACUUCAAAGCACCUAACCCUAACCACUGCUUAAUCCUAACCAUUACCUAAUU
Molecule: long non-coding RNA, 118 nt
Organism: Etheostoma cragini (Arkansas darter)
Lineage: Eukaryota; Metazoa; Chordata; Actinopteri; Perciformes; Percidae
Exons: 3
Source: RefSeq, a predicted model, not a curated record